UGAUUGUCCAAACGCAAUUCUUGUGGUUAGUCUAGUCAAGGACUGUGUGUGGACAUCAAU
RNAcentral lists this microRNA precursor (60 nucleotides) under Blattella germanica (German cockroach). RNAcentral's name for it is "Bge-Mir-219_pre stem-loop". It matches the Rfam family "mir-219 microRNA precursor family", at positions 6 to 67 of the family's 79-position model. Rfam says of the family: The hairpin precursors (represented here) are predicted based on base pairing and cross-species conservation -- their extents are not known. In this case the mature sequence is excised from the 5' arm of the hairpin. Lineage: Eukaryota; Metazoa; Arthropoda; Insecta; Blattodea; Blattellidae. The record is from RNAcentral.